Danio rerio (zebrafish) is the source of this 385-nucleotide non-coding RNA. The record is from RefSeq and is a predicted model, not a curated record. NCBI's taxonomy places the organism in Eukaryota, Metazoa, Chordata, Actinopteri, Cypriniformes, Danionidae.
UUAGAUUUAUAGCUUCAUGUUUACGGCAUGUUUACCCUCUCACUUCUCCUUUUUCACAUUUGAUGUUUGUCUCCAUUUCUCGCUCCCUCCUUCUCUUCCGCCACAUCUGUUUUCACCUCCUCUGUCAGUCUUUGCUUAUCCGUCUUUAAGAGUGCUUCACGGUUUGCUUUCUGAUGCUUCAAGAUGAACACGACGACCCAAAACAUUACUACAGGUGUGUUCCACAGCAAACCUGAUCUCAAACCAGUCAAAACCAAUUCAAAUAACACAGCAUCUCGGCCGGAUUGGUUACUCUACUCUGUUCCUGUAUCAGCUUUUGUGAUUGGGAUUGUCCUGUUCACAACCAUCUGCAAAACACAGCGGCAGAGAAAUGGCAAUCGUCAAC